RNAcentral lists this ribosomal RNA (1792 nucleotides) under Staphylococcus aureus 9P9. RNAcentral describes it as "bacterial LSU rRNA". It matches the Rfam family "Bacterial large subunit ribosomal RNA", at positions 1129 to 2925 of the family's 2925-position model. Lineage: Bacteria; Bacillati; Bacillota; Bacilli; Caryophanales; Staphylococcaceae. The record is from RNAcentral.
AGUGCGUAAUAGCUCACUAGUCGAGUGACACUGCGCCGAAAAUGUACCGGGGCUAAACAUAUUACCGAAGCUGUGGAUUGUCCUUUGGACAAUGGUAGGAGAGCGUUCUAAGGGCGUUGAAGCAUGAUCGUAAGGACAUGUGGAGCGCUUAGAAGUGAGAAUGCCGGUGUGAGUAGCGAAAGACGGGUGAGAAUCCCGUCCACCGAUUGACUAAGGUUUCCAGAGGAAGGCUCGUCCGCUCUGGGUUAGUCGGGUCCUAAGCUGAGGCCGACAGGCGUAGGCGAUGGAUAACAGGUUGAUAUUCCUGUACCACCUAUAAUCGUUUUAAUCGAUGGGGGGACGCAGUAGGAUAGGCGAAGCGUGCGAUUGGAUUGCACGUCUAAGCAGUAAGGCUGAGUAUUAGGCAAAUCCGGUACUCGUUAAGGCUGAGCUGUGAUGGGGAGAAGACAUUGUGUCUUCGAGUCGUUGAUUUCACACUGCCGAGAAAAGCCUCUAGAUAGAAAAUAGGUGCCCGUACCGCAAACCGACACAGGUAGUCAAGAUGAGAAUUCUAAGGUGAGCGAGCGAACUCUCGUUAAGGAACUCGGCAAAAUGACCCCGUAACUUCGGGAGAAGGGGUGCUCUUUAGGGUUAACGCCCAGAAGAGCCGCAGUGAAUAGGCCCAAGCGACUGUUUAUCAAAAACACAGGUCUCUGCUAAACCGUAAGGUGAUGUAUAGGGGCUGACGCCUGCCCGGUGCUGGAAGGUUAAGAGGAGUGGUUAGCUUCUGCGAAGCUACGAAUCGAAGCCCCAGUAAACGGCGGCCGUAACUAUAACGGUCCUAAGGUAGCGAAAUUCCUUGUCGGGUAAGUUCCGACCCGCACGAAAGGCGUAACGAUUUGGGCACUGUCUCAACGAGAGACUCGGUGAAAUCAUAGUACCUGUGAAGAUGCAGGUUACCCGCGACAGGACGGAAAGACCCCGUGGAGCUUUACUGUAGCCUGAUAUUGAAAUUCGGCACAGCUUGUACAGGAUAGGUAGGAGCCUUUGAAACGUGAGCGCUAGCUUACGUGGAGGCGCUGGUGGGAUACUACCCUAGCUGUGUUGGCUUUCUAACCCGCACCACUUAUCGUGGUGGGAGACAGUGUCAGGCGGGCAGUUUGACUGGGGCGGUCGCCUCCUAAAAGGUAACGGAGGCGCUCAAAGGUUCCCUCAGAAUGGUUGGAAAUCAUUCAUAGAGUGUAAAGGCAUAAGGGAGCUUGACUGCGAGACCUACAAGUCGAGCAGGGUCGAAAGACGGACUUAGUGAUCCGGUGGUUCCGCAUGGAAGGGCCAUCGCUCAACGGAUAAAAGCUACCCCGGGGAUAACAGGCUUAUCUCCCCCAAGAGUUCACAUCGACGGGGAGGUUUGGCACCUCGAUGUCGGCUCAUCGCAUCCUGGGGCUGUAGUCGGUCCCAAGGGUUGGGCUGUUCGCCCAUUAAAGCGGUACGCGAGCUGGGUUCAGAACGUCGUGAGACAGUUCGGUCCCUAUCCGUCGUGGGCGUAGGAAAUUUGAGAGGAGCUGUCCUUAGUACGAGAGGACCGGGAUGGACAUACCUCUGGUGUACCAGUUGUCGUGCCAACGGCAUAGCUGGGUAGCUAUGUGUGGACGGGAUAAGUGCUGAAAGCAUCUAAGCAUGAAGCCCCCCUCAAGAUGAGAUUUCCCAACUUCGGUUAUAAGAUCCCUCAAAGAUGAUGAGGUUAAUAGGUUCGAGGUGGAAGCAUGGUGACAUGUGGAGCUGACGAAUACUAAUCGAUCGAAGACUUAAUCAA